GACGAACGCUGGCGGCGUGCUUAACACAUGCAAGUCGAACGGAAAGGCCCUGCUUUUGUGGGGUGCUCGAGUGGCGAACGGGUGAGUAACACGUGAGUAACCUGCCCUUGACUUUGGGAUAACUUCAGGAAACUGGGGCUAAUACCGGAUAGGAGCUCCUGCUGCAUGGUGGGGGUUGGAAAGUUUCGGCGGUUGGGGAUGGACUCGCGGCUUAUCAGCUUGUUGGUGGGGUAGUGGCUUACCAAGGCUUUGACGGGUAGGCGGCCUGAGAGGGUGACCGGCCACAUUGGGACUGAGAUACGGACCAGACUCCUACGGGCGGCAGCAGUGGGGAAUAUUGCACAAUGGGCGGAAGCCUGAUGCAGCAACGCCGCGUGCGGGAUGACGGCCUUCGGGUUGUAAACCGCUUUCGCCUGUGACGAAGCGUGAGUGACGGUAAUGGGUAAAGAAGCACCGGCUAACUACGUG
This 468-nucleotide ribosomal RNA is filed under the name uncultured bacterium. Its description in RNAcentral is "partial 16S ribosomal RNA". It matches the Rfam family "Bacterial small subunit ribosomal RNA", at positions 28 to 507 of the family's 1533-position model. The record is from RNAcentral.